GGUUAAGCGACUAAGCGUACACGGUGGAUGCCCUGGCAGUCAGAGGCGAUGAAGGACGUGCUAAUCUGCGAUAAGCGUCGGUAAGGUGAUAUGAACCGUUAUAACCGGCGAUUUCCGAAUGGGGAAACCCAGUGUGUUUCGACACACUAUCAUUAACUGAAUCCAUAGGUUAAUGAGGCGAACCGGGGGAACUGAAACAUCUAAGUACCCCGAGGAAAAGAAAUCAACCGAGAUUCCCCCAGUAGCGGCGAGCGAACGGGGAGCAGCCCAGAGCCUGAAUCAGUGUGUGUGUUAGUGGAAGCGUCUGGAAAGGCGCGCGAUACAGGGUGACAGCCCCGUACACAAAAAUGCACAUGCUGUGAGCUCGAUGAGUAGGGCGGGACACGUGGUAUCCUGUCUGAAUAUGGGGGGACCAUCCUCCAAGGCUAAAUACUCCUGACUGACCGAUAGUGAACCAGUACCGUGAGGGAAAGGCGAAAAGAACCCCGGCGAGGGGAGUGAAAAAGAACCUGAAACCGUGUACGUACAAGCAGUGGGAGCACGCUUAGGCGUGUGACUGCGUACCUUUUGUAUAAUGGGUCAGCGACUUAUAUUCUGUAGCAAGGUUAACCGAAUAGGGGAGCCGAAGGGAAACCGAGUCUUAACUGGGCGUUAAGUUGCAGGGUAUAGACCCGAAACCCGGUGAUCUAGCCAUGGGCAGGUUGAAGGUUGGGUAACACUAACUGGAGGACCGAACCGACUAAUGUUGAAAAAUUAGCGGAUGACUUGUGGCUGGGGGUGAAAGGCCAAUCAAACCGGGAGAUAGCUGGUUCUCCCCGAAAGCUAUUUAGGUAGCGCCUCGUGAAUUCAUCUCCGGGGGUAGAGCACUGUUUCGGCAAGGGGGUCAUCCCGACUUACCAACCCGAUGCAAACUGCGAAUACCGGAGAAUGUUAUCACGGGAGACACACGGCGGGUGCUAACGUCCGUCGUGAAGAGGGAAACAACCCAGACCGCCAGCUAAGGUCCCAAAGUCAUGGUUAAGUGGGAAACGAUGUGGGAAGGCCCAGACAGCCAGGAUGUUGGCUUAGAAGCAGCCAUCAUUUAAAGAAAGCGUAAUAGCUCACUGGUCGAGUCGGCCUGCGCGGAAGAUGUAACGGGGCUAAACCAUGCACCGAAGCUGCGGCAGCGACGCUGAUGCGUUGUUGGGUAGGGGAGCGUUCUGUAAGCCUGCGAAGGUGUGCUGUGAGGCAUGCUGGAGGUAUGAGAAGUGCGAAUGCUGACAUAAGUAACGAUAAAGCGGGUGAAAAGCCCGCUCGCCGGAAGACCAAGGGUUCCUGUCCAACGUUAAUCGGGGCAGGGUGAGUCGACCCCUAAGGCGAGGCCGAAAGGCGUAGUCGAUGGGAAACAGGUUAAUAUUCCUGUACUUGGUGUUACUGCGAAGGGGGGACGGAGAAGGCUAUGUUGGCCGGGCGACGGUUGUCCCGGUUUAAGCGUGUAGGCUGGUUUUCCAGGCAAAUCCGGAAAAUCAAGGCUGAGGCGUGAUGACGAGGCACUACGGUGCUGAAGCAACAAAUGCCCUGCUUCCAGGAAAAGCCUCUAAGCAUCAGGUAACAUCAAAUCGUACCCCAAACCGACACAGGUGGUCAGGUAGAGAAUACCAAGGCGCUUGAGAGAACUCGGGUGAAGGAACUAGGCAAAAUGGUGCCGUAACUUCGGGAGAAGGCACGCUGAUAUGUAGGUGAAGCGACUUGCUCGUGGAGCUGAAAUCAGUCGAAGAUACCAGCUGGCUGCAACUGUUUAUUAAAAACACAGCACUGUGCAAACACGAAAGUGGACGUAUACGGUGUGACGCCUGCCCGGUGCCGGAAGGUUAAUUGAUGGGGUCAGCGCAAGCGAAGCUCUUGAUCGAAGCCCCGGUAAACGGCGGCCGUAACUAUAACGGUCCUAAGGUAGCGAAAUUCCUUGUCGGGUAAGUUCCGACCUGCACGAAUGGCGUAAUGAUGGCCAGGCUGUCUCCACCCGAGACUCAGUGAAAUUGAACUCGCUGUGAAGAUGCAGUGUACCCGCGGCAAGACGGAAAGACCCCGUGAACCUUUACUAUAGCUUGACACUGAACAUUGAGCCUUGAUGUGUAGGAUAGGUGGGAGGCUUGGAAGUGUGGACGCCAGUCUGCAUGGAGCCGACCUUGAAAUACCACCCUUUAAUGUUUGAUGUUCUAACGUGGACCCGUGAUCCGGGUUGCGGACAGUGUCUGGUGGGUAGUUUGACUGGGGCGGUCUCCUCCUAAAGAGUAACGGAGGAGCACGAAGGUUGGCUAAUCCUGGUCGGACAUCAGGAGGUUAGUGCAAUGGCAUAAGCCAGCUUGACUGCGAGCGUGACGGCGCGAGCAGGUGCGAAAGCAGGUCAUAGUGAUCCGGUGGUUCUGAAUGGAAGGGCCAUCGCUCAACGGAUAAAAGGUACUCCGGGGAUAACAGGCUGAUACCGCCCAAGAGUUCAUAUCGACGGCGGUGUUUGGCACCUCGAUGUCGGCUCAUCACAUCCUGGGGCUGAAGUAGGUCCCAAGGGUAUGGCUGUUCGCCAUUUAAAGUGGUACGCGAGCUGGGUUUAGAACGUCGUGAGACAGUUCGGUCCCUAUCUGCCGUGGGCGCUGGAGAACUGAGGGGGGCUGCUUCUAGUACGAGAGGACCGGAGUGGACGCAUCACUGGUGUUCGGGUUGUCAUGCCAAUGGCACUGCCCGGUAGCUAAAUGCGGAAGAGAUAAGUGCUGAAAGCAUCUAAGCACGAAACUUGCCCCGAGAUGAGUUCUCCCUGACCCUUUAAGGGUCCUGAAGGAACGUUGAAGACGACGACGUUGAUAGGCCGGGUGUGUAAGCGCAGCGAUGCGUUGAGCUAACCGGUACUAAUGAACCGUGAGGCUUAACCUU
RNAcentral lists this ribosomal RNA (2904 nucleotides) under Escherichia coli. Its description in RNAcentral is "23S ribosomal RNA". It matches the Rfam family "Bacterial large subunit ribosomal RNA". The record is from RNAcentral. Lineage: Bacteria; Pseudomonadati; Pseudomonadota; Gammaproteobacteria; Enterobacterales; Enterobacteriaceae.